CACGUAGGGGGCAAGCGUUGUCCGGAUUCAUUGGGCGUAAAGAGCUCGUAGGCGGUUCGAUAAGUCGGGUGUGAAACCUCCAGGCUCAACCUGGAGACGCCACCCGAUACUGUCGUGACUAGAGUCCAGUAGGGGAGCGUGGAAUUCCUGGUGUAGCGGUGGAAUGCGCAGAUAUCAGGAGGAACACCGAUGGCGAAGGCAGGUCUCUGGGCCAUUACUGACACUGAGAAGCGAAAGCAUGGGGAGCGAACAGG
Molecule: ribosomal RNA, 254 nt
Filed under: uncultured bacterium
Lineage: Bacteria
Description: partial 16S ribosomal RNA
Rfam family: Bacterial small subunit ribosomal RNA
Source: RNAcentral